CAUGUGAAAUUACAAAACUACCCCUAAUACAAAAACUAGUCUAGGUGCCCUAAAAUACAAGGGCUGAAAAAUCCUAUAUUUCUAGGGUACCCUACCUACAUUAUGGAGCCCUAAAUACAAGGCCCAAAAAUAAUGAAACCUUAAUCUAAUAUUUACAAAGAUAAGCGGGCUUGUACUUAGCCCAUGGGCCCGAAAUCUACCCUAAGGCUCAUAAGAACCCUAGGGCCUUCUCUUGCAUCUCUGGCCCAAUCUACUUGGAGUUUUUCUAUCCAAUGCCCUUGCGGAGUAGGAUUGCAUCA
This 299-nucleotide long non-coding RNA is filed under the name Glycine max (soybean). RNAcentral's name for it is "long non-coding RNA (GMAX_LNC001033)". Lineage: Eukaryota; Viridiplantae; Streptophyta; Magnoliopsida; Fabales; Fabaceae. The record is from RNAcentral.